GGGGAUGGGCUUUGCAUAAAGUCUAGAUAGAACUGAUUUUGAAUGGGCUUCUUUGCCCAUUGCUAUGCUUUUUGCAUCAUAACUUUGUAACUUACGUGAUAAUUUAGCACCGAAGCUGAUGACAGGAAGACAAAUCAGGACUUUGUCUCUCCUUUCCUUCACUUACAAAUGGUAUGAAGACAUUCUCUGUGAUGUCUGUAUGACUGAAGGUAGCAGAAGGAGUAAAACUGGGAAAGUUGAAUACGUUCAAUGCACUUAAAGAAGCCUGGAAGUUAAUGACAUCAUUGGCAGACAGCUCUGGCCUCGUGCAUCUGGAGAUCCAAACAGCCCUGCUUGAUGCUGGCACAUUUUGGUGUGAGUGUCAGGACAUGGUGACCAUGAUGUGCUUGACCAAACUUGGUGCUGACAUUUGGGACCUGAGGAGGUGUCUGAGACCGGUAGAAGGGAGCUGACAUGACACCAGUGCCGCUCCCAGAGGACAUGCUACAACCUCUUGACAUGGAGCUUGCAGUAAGGAAGAACUGAACUCUCUGUACAUCCUGCAGCAGAAGCACCCCAAGCUGCUGCCCACAGCUUUCUUUCUGCUCCCCUCCUGAGGUCUGAGGACUGUUCAAGAAAACAUCCAAUUCCCAAACUUCUGGCGAAUGCUUUUAUCACCCUUCAUUCUCUCUACCAGCUUACUUGCCCUUGAAAUUUGUCCACAGAGAAUGACUAAAAAUUUGCUCAUGAACUUAAAAAAUUGGCAUGAGACUUCCAUGGUUUAUGGGCAUGGUGGUGGUAGGCUAAUGGUUGGACCAUAGGUCUUUUCCAACCUCAAUGAUUCUAUGAUUCAUGCUGCCAACACAAAGACCAACAAAGCUUACUGUGCUUGGAUACUGAAGAAAACUUCUUUUGGAGGAACCAUUUUGAGAAGCACCAUUUUGUUCCUACCCAGGUGGGCCCUUCCAGAGUUCCCAAGCACCCCCUUCCCCAGCUCAGUAAUGGAAAUGUACUGCAAUCAACAUCCCAACGUGUAACCUUAACUUUUUGAAGUGACGAGUCUAAUGCCCUUACACUGACUUCAGCUUCUUUAGAUAAGGGAAGGAAGAAAGCAAAGGAUUAAUAAACCAUCUCCCCCUCCCAUAUGUUGAGAAACUAUGCUAGCACUGACAACAGACUGGCCAAUAUUCAUAAUAAUCUUUUAACUGGAUGGCAAUGAAAGUUUCCACUAGUCUAACUAAGCUUUUGGCUAUUCAUGUGUAUUGUAUGAAAGAAUCCAGAUUUAUCAAUGUCAAUCUGUAAAUUAGCAAUAAUUUCUGGUUUUGCGUUGGAAGAGUGGGGGUCAAGGGAAAAAAACACAGGUUUAAAGGAAGAUGGGAUUGUCUUCCUGCCAUUUUGUCUGUGUUUGAUUUCUUCAGCUCUGCGCUGCCUGGAAAUCAGUCCAAGAUGUUACAACAGAUGUCUGACAGCACUUCAGCUCGCUGCUUGAGAUCCGAGCAGUGCUGAGCUUGAAGUCAGCUGGUGGUAGCACUUGACCCAGGUUCAGUGAGCUCACCCCAGGGCUUACUGAGUGUGCUGUGAUUGCUGGGGAACACUAUCCAAGCAGAUGUUUAGCUGGCAAACUUGCCUCUCUCUGUUGUUCUGUCCCCUGUGAGAACAUGUGAAACACAGGAUGCUGGAUUUUCCUUGGGAGAGAAACAGGGCCGUGGGGAGAAGCGCUGGCUGGUGGUGGUAGCCAAAUGUUCCCACCAGGAAUUCAAACUGUCCCCCUGCACAUCUCAAAGCAAAACUGCAAGAUUUGGUCCACUGCCAGUCCUUCCAAGUUUCCUGCAUGGUCUGGUUUGUGACACGAGCUCUGCAAAAUGUAUUCCAUAUGUUUGUUCCACCAGAAAUCCUAUUGGUUUGUGAUACCGCAACUGAGCUUGCUUGUGGACAUUUGAUCCCUGUCUGGGUAAGAUGAAGAUUCGCUCUACAAGGAAUUUUAAGUCAAAUGUUAGUUCCGCCUCAGCCUGGAUUAUAUAUGUGCUGACAAAAAUAAAUCUGACGUUUUAUUCCUGACUUGAACAAUGUGAGGUUCCUCUUCAGGGAUUCCCGGAUUGUUCUUACCUAGUAAUUAAAUCUUCAUCAUGUUUUUGCCAAAAGCAGUAUGUUCAGCUCCCAAAGGGGGAUUAUUUCUUCUGUAUCCCUCCACUCCCCACACAAGAUCUCCCGGGGUCCAUCUGUACCUCCUCCUCCCUUUUAGCUACACUUGUCUCGUUAGUUGUUCGGCCCUGAUUCUGCAAGCUGAUGCCUGGAUCUGCUGUGCAUGAAAAAUCCCACAUCUAUAUCCUGCCAGGAGGCAUUUUGUUUCGCUCGCUUGGAGUCUAGGACAAGGUUUUCCCUCCCAUGAAUUAUGUGCUUUCUUGGCCAGGAACUACAGAUGCAGAUUUUUCCCGCUGGGGGCUGCCGAGGGGCUCUGGGCAGGAGCUCCAGGGAACUCAGGCUCCCCAUCCACCCCAGAGCUUUGCUGACAGGGUGACAUUGGUUGUAUGGCUUCAGCCCUUGAAACGGCCAGCGUGGAAAACACGCAGGGAGACACAACGGGGUUAGAAGAAAAAUGUUUAUAAUGCCCUGGGCACUUACUGUAUGUACAUAUGGGGUAUACAUAUGCAUAUGUGUAACGUUUGAUCAACAACAGUGAUUGUAGAGGUGUGUCUUGUUAUGAAGUCAAUUCUGUAUACAAUCUGUCCUGGGUUCUGACAUAAUAUUUAUCUUGUCACGAGUUAAGUUCCCAAACCCAAAUCCUUCACUGAUAUUCUGUUAGAAAAUCAUCCCUCCAUGUCCACUGUUUUGGUGUUCAAGUGCCAUAUUACUGUUGUCCCAUUUCUAUAAAUGCUCAUAAUAACAAUGUACUAUUUGUCAGGAAGGUGGAUAGCUAUCUCACUGACUUCCAGCUUCAGCUUCAAAACAGUGGUGUACCACACUAGUGGUUUCAUGAUGCCUUGUUUUGGAUGAAAAGGUGGUUAUAAAAAGCAUAAAUUCAUUCAGCUCUACCCAACAUUUUGUGCACAUAGUUAAACCUAUAGAUGAAUUAUCUGGUAGUGAAUUGCCAAACAGAAAAACAACAACAACAAAACAGCAAACAAAGGUAGAACAGCAAACAGGUUCCAAUCAAAUUUCUCUUCUCAGUUCUUGCUCAGACUACAUUUAUUUGUUCCAAUAAGAAAUCUUUAGAAUUAACAGUGGGUUUUGUCCAUUCUUCUUUUUUUUUUAACUAUGGACAAACUAUGACAAUACACUCUAAUGGAAUGAAAUUUUCUUUUUCAUUCUGGAAAUAUAUCCUGCGCUAUAGGGCUUUUCAAUUUAACAUACAAGCCUUUAUCUUUUCCAGCCAAGAGCAACACUUAUUUUAUAUGUAUACAAAUGUAAUUACAAAUGUUUGUUUCUGUAAGAACUCAUAUUUUUACCUUUUAAAAUGCACAUAAACGUUGCUAGAUAUGAAACCUUUUAGCUUGUAGGGCCGGCAAAUAUGCUCACGCUGCUUUAGCAUUUGCACAGUGAUGUCCUUUGCAUGACUCAAGGACUUAUUCUGCUAUGAAAAUUACAUGCAUUUCCUUGGAGAAACCUUUUAUUUUUCCUUUCUUUCUUGUUUUCCUUUGCAG
Gallus gallus (chicken) is the source of this 3620-nucleotide long non-coding RNA. The record is from Ensembl. NCBI's taxonomy places the organism in Eukaryota, Metazoa, Chordata, Aves, Galliformes, Phasianidae.